GUAGUCUCGCACAGAUGCAUAUCAAUAAGCGGAGGAAAAGAAACUAACAAGGAUUCCCUUAGUAACGGCGAGUGAAGCGGGAAGAGCUCAAAUUUGAAAUCUUCAAGGUUUUACCUUGACGAAUUGUAGUUUAAAGAAGUGUUUUCUGUUGAAGUUUUGGUAAAAGUUCUUUGGAAUAGGACAUCAUAGAGGGUGAGAAUCCCGUAUUUGACCAUUAUUUUCAGCUGUGUGAUACACUUUCAAAGAGUCGGAUUGUUUGGGAAUGCAGUCCAAAAUGGGUGGUAAAUUUCAUCUAAAGCUAAAUAUUGGCGAGAGACCGAUAGCGAACAAGUACCGUGAGGGAAAGAUGAAAAGAACUUUGAAAAGAGAGUUAAACAGUACGUGAAAUUGUCAAAAGGAAGCGUUUGACACCAGUGUUGUUUUCUCGAAAAUCAAUUAAAAAGAGUUUGAUUUUGUUGUGUAUUGACCUUAACAGCUUGCAUUUCAAUUUUCUUGCUUUUUUUAAUGCACUUUUCGUUUAACAAGUCAACAUCAGUUUCUUUUGUUGUAAAAAGGUCAUUGGAAGGUGGCUUUCUUUUCGGAGAAAGUGUUUAUAGCCUUUGACUCCUGCAAUCGGAGAGACUGAGGUCUGCAGCGUAGAUCCUUCGGGGUUAGAUACAUUUGUGCUAAGUUAUAGCUUUUUAUAGACAACUUGUUGACUAUGAUUAGUCUUGUAGCUUACUCGCUUAUGCUAUUUUACCUACGCUUAGGAUGUUGAGCGCAUGUCUCUCUCU
RNAcentral lists this ribosomal RNA (773 nucleotides) under uncultured Neocallimastigales. Its description in RNAcentral is "partial large subunit ribosomal RNA". It matches the Rfam family "Eukaryotic large subunit ribosomal RNA", at positions 24 to 616 of the family's 3401-position model. Lineage: Eukaryota; Fungi; Neocallimastigomycota; Neocallimastigomycetes; Neocallimastigales. The record is from RNAcentral.